UGCCAGUUUUGUAGUUUUGUUUUUCCUUUUCUUGCUAUUUGGCCAGGAGCAGCAGUAGCAGCAGCUCCAAGAACACUGGCUCCUUCUUAGUCCCAUGGAAGCACAGAUCAACAUCAUUGCCCUUGCAAACUUCUCUCAGCUUAGGAGAGUCUACUCGCUCUUUGCACAUUGUUGACAUGAAAUGAAUAUUAAACACCAAACCUCAUAGAGGCCAGCCCUGCUGGGCGAG
RNAcentral lists this long non-coding RNA (229 nucleotides) under Homo sapiens (human). RNAcentral's name for it is "non-protein coding lnc-ERAL1-8:7". The record is from RNAcentral. Lineage: Eukaryota; Metazoa; Chordata; Mammalia; Primates; Hominidae.